This 490-nucleotide ribosomal RNA is filed under the name uncultured bacterium. RNAcentral's name for it is "partial 16S ribosomal RNA". It matches the Rfam family "Bacterial small subunit ribosomal RNA", at positions 30 to 507 of the family's 1533-position model. The record is from RNAcentral.
AUUGAACGCUGGUGGCAGGCUUAACACAUGCAAGUCGAACGGUAACAGGAAUUAGCUUGCUAAUUUGCUGACGAGUGGCGGACGGGUGAGUAAUGCUUGGGAAUCUGGCUUAUGGAGGGGGAUAACUACGGGAAACUGUAGCUAAUACCGCGUAAAAUCUUCGGAUUAAAGGGUGGGACUUUCGAGCCACCUGCCAUAAGAUGAGCCCAAGUGGGAUUAGGUAGUUGGUUAGGUAAAGGCUGACCAAGCGGACGAUCUCUAGCUGGUCUGAGAGGAUGACCAGCCGCACGGGAGCUGAGACACGGUCCAGACGCCUGCGGGAGGCAGCAGUGGGGAAUAUUGCGCAGUGGGGGGAAACCUGAUGCAACCAUGCCGCGUGAAUGAAGGAGGCGUUCGGGUUGUAAAGUUCUUUCGGUGACGGGAAAGGUUGAUAGGUUAAUAGCAUGUCAAAUUGACGUUAAUGACAGAAGAAGCACCGGCUAACUCCGUG